Molecule: non-coding RNA, 99 nt
Organism: Arabidopsis thaliana (thale cress)
Lineage: Eukaryota; Viridiplantae; Streptophyta; Magnoliopsida; Brassicales; Brassicaceae
Product: other RNA
Exons: 1
Source: RefSeq
UCUCCAUCUUCGUGGUACUAGUAGUUUCUAGUAACAUAGAUUUCUCGGUUGGUUCCAUUAGAGGAAGACAAUGGAAGAGAGAGAAGAGAUUUUGGUGAA